AGAGUUUGAUCCUGGCUCAGGAUGAACGCUAGCGGCAGGCUUAACACAUGCAAGUCGAGGGGCAUCGGGAGGGAAGCUUGCUUUCCUUGCCGGCGACCGGCGCACGGGUGAGUAACACGUAUGCAACCUGCCCUCUUCAGGGGGACAACCUUCCGAAAGGGAGGCUAAUCCCGCGUAUAUCGGUUUCGGGCAUCCGAGAUCGAGGAAAGAUUCAUCGGAAGAGGAUGGGCAUGCGGCGCAUUAGCUAGACGGCGGGGUAACGGCCCACCGUGGCGACGAUGCGUAGGGGUUCUGAGAGGAAGGUCCCCCACACUGGUACUGAGACAUGGACCAGACUCCUACGGGAGGCAGCAGUGAGGAAUAUUGGUCAAUGGGAGAGAUCCUGAACCAGCCAAGCCGCGUGAGGGAAGACGGCCCUAUGGGUUGUAAACCUCUUUUGUCGGAGAACAAAACCCGGGACGAGUCCCGGACUGCGUGUAUCCGAAGAAAAAGCAUCGGCUAACUCCGUGCCAGCAGCCGCGGUAAUACGGAGGAUGCGAGCGUUAUCCGGAUUUAUUGGGUUUAAAGGGUGCGUAGGCGGUCCGUUAAGUCAGCGGUAAAAUUGCGGGGCUCAACCCCGUCGAGCCGUUGAAACUGGCAGACUUGAGUUGGCGAGAAGUACGCGGAAUGCGCGGUGUAGCGGUGAAAUGCAUAGAUAUCGCGCAGAACUCCGAUUGCGAAGGCAGCGUACCGGCGCCAGACUGACGCUGAGGCACGAAAGCGUGGGGAUCGAACAGGAUUAGAUACCCUGGUAGUCCACGCAGUAAACGAUGAAUGCUGGUUGUCCGGGUCGAAUGAGAUCUGGGCGGCGAAGCGAAAGCGAUAAGCAUUCCACCUGGGGAGUACGCCGGCAACGGUGAAACUCAAAGGAAUUGACGGGGGCCCGCACAAGCGGAGGAACAUGUGGUUUAAUUCGAUGAUACGCGAGGAACCUUACCCGGGCUCAAACGGGAGUGGAAUGGACCAGAGACGGUUCAGCCUACGGGCCGCUUCCGAGGUGCUGCAUGGUUGUCGUCAGCUCGUGCCGUGAGGUGUCGGCUUAAGUGCCAUAACGAGCGCAACCCCCGCCGGCAGUUGCUAACGGGCAAUGCCGAGGACUCUGCCGGGACUGCCGCCGCAAGGCGAGAGGAAGGCGGGGAUGACGUCAAAUCAGCACGGCCCUUACGUCCGGGGCGACACACGUGUUACAAUGGGCGGUACAGCGGGAAGCCAGGCGGCGACGCCGAGCGGAACCCGAAAGCCGUUCUCAGUUCGGAUCGGAGUCUGCAACCCGACUCCGUGAAGCUGGAUUCGCUAGUAAUCGCGCAUCAGCCAUGGCGCGGUGAAUACGAUCCCGGGUCUUGUACACACCGCCCGUCAAG
RNAcentral lists this ribosomal RNA (1400 nucleotides) under uncultured bacterium. RNAcentral's name for it is "bacterial SSU rRNA". It matches the Rfam family "Bacterial small subunit ribosomal RNA". The record is from RNAcentral.